AUGGCCCGCGUGGAGGUGAACGGGCAGCGGGGCACGGCCGCCGGAGCAGAAGUGAUGCUGCCCCGCCGGAGGAGGCGACAGGAGCUGUUUGCCUUCCAGAUGUGCUUCGCGGGGGUGCUUCUGGGGCUGGCGGCGGGGUUCCGGUCGGUGGCCCAGAGAACAGGAGCAGUAAAUCAUGUACCUCCCUCCGCUUUCCCAGUGGCUGCAAAUUUCCUAUCCUGUUGGAACGCUGUGUCAGGAUAUCUCUCCAGCUCACUGGUUUUGGAAGAGACAAGGUGGGAGAGUCGACACCUUUUACAAGAGGAAAACCAGUCCAAGCUCUACUCAGACACUGAGAAGAACUGCACGGAGCCAGCCAUCCACGAGUUUCCAAGGGAUUACUUCACCAACCAAGAGCGAACGGAGGGCGCCGUGGGCCUGCAUGUCCUCUGUGCCGUCUACAUGUUCUAUGCUCUGGCUCUGGUGUGUGACGACUACUUUGUCCCAUCUCUGGAGAAGAUCUGUGAGCGUCUCCACCUGAGCGAGGACGUCGCAGGAGCCACCUUCAUGGCAGCAGGCAGCUCGGCACCUGAGCUGUUCACCUCUGUCAUCGGAGUGUUCAUCACUAAAGGUGACGUCGGGGUUGGGACCAUUGUGGGCUCGGCCGUCUUCAACAUUCUCUGCAUCAUUGGGAUGUGUGGUAUAUUCGUUGUACAGACCAUCCGUCUGUCCUGCUGGCCUCUGCUACGAGACUCUGUCUACUACACUCUGUCCAUCUCUGCUCUCAUUGUGUUCAUUUAUGAUGAGAAAGUGGUUUGGUGGGAAGCUCUCACGCUGAUUCUGAUGUAUUUUGUCUACAUUCUGAUCAUGAAGAAGCAGUCGGUCCUCAUGGUGGACGAGCUGCUGUCGGUGUACCCGCACCAGCUGACCUUCUCUGAGGCCGGGAUGAGGAUCAUGAUCACCAGUCACUUCUCUCCCCGGACGCGGCUCACCAUGGCGUCCCGGAUGCUCAUCACUGAGAGACAACGUCUGAUCAGCAGCAGGACUCUGAUCAAUGGUGAGUCUGACAUUCCCGUAAAGGGAGGCAACAACUGGGGCGUGGAAAAUGGACUGUCAGCUACUGAGAGGCGCAUCAGCAUCUGCAACGAUGAUCGAGAGCCAGGCAACGAGACCGAGUACGAGGACAACGAAAACAACGAGAAUGAUGAAGAAGAGGAGGAUGGAGAAGGACCCUUCGUACCCUUCCAGUGCCCAGCCGGUGUGGUGAACAAACUGAAGUGGCUGCUUGCUUGGCCUCUCUGCCUCCUGCUGUACUUCACCAUUCCCAACUGCUCCAAACCUCGCUGGGAGAACUGUUUCAUGCUCUCCUUCAUUUCCUCCACCCUCUGGAUCGCAUCCUUCUCCUACAUCAUGGUCUGGAUGGUUACAGUGAUCGGCUUCACACUCGGCAUUCCUGAUGUCAUCAUGGGCAUCACAUUCCUGGCAGCUGGUACCAGCGUUCCUGACUGCAUGGCCAAGGAUCUCCUGAGGUCUCCUGACUGUCUUUUGUCUUCUUUCUGUCCAACAUCUGUUUCCUGUCUCUCACCUUCUCUACAGAUCAAACUGAACAGCAAAGGUCUCAUCUUCUCCGUGGGUCUCCUUCUGGCCUCCGUGUUUCUGACAGUUCUGGGAGUCCACCUGAACAAGUGGACACUGGACAGACGUCUGGGUCUCGUGUGUCUCCUCCUCUACUCCAUCUUCCUGUGUUUCUCUUGUCUCAUUGAAUACAACAUCUUCACCUUUGUCAACCUGCCGACCUGCCGGGGAGACUGACACAUACACACACACACACACACACACACACACACACACAGGAAGUCAGAUGAGGGAGUUAGACUCUUUAUGGUAACAAAGAUGGGACAGAACACCCCCACAUUAAAUAAACUCAUAUGAAAAGCUUUUAUUUUGAAAGUC
Nothobranchius furzeri (turquoise killifish) is the source of this 1932-nucleotide long non-coding RNA. The record is from Ensembl. NCBI's taxonomy places the organism in Eukaryota, Metazoa, Chordata, Actinopteri, Cyprinodontiformes, Nothobranchiidae.